RNAcentral lists this long non-coding RNA (984 nucleotides) under Danio rerio (zebrafish). RNAcentral's name for it is "lncRNA (ENSDARG00000117536.1)". Lineage: Eukaryota; Metazoa; Chordata; Actinopteri; Cypriniformes; Danionidae. The record is from RNAcentral.
UAUUUGUUAUGCAGCAAGCCCAGAGAUUGUUGUGUACACUAUGACUUUAUGUAAAAUUAACUUUAAUGUGUGAUAUGAAUAAAAAGCGAUCAUAAAUAAUUUCUCAACUCAAAUGAGUGGUGGCUUGGACCCAGAAACAGUAUUAUUACGUACGUCACCACCUAACAAGCGGAUAGAGAGUUAAACUAUUUGCUUAAGUUAAAAAAUAAGCAUAUUUCGAUGUGGACACAUAUGCAUUAUGAAUUCUAAAAGAACAAAGUCUUUAAACGUUUUAAUAAAAAGAUGAUAGUAGUAAAUGUACAUACCCAAAACAUAUAGACCAUUUCAAUGUGCUCAUGUCAUUCGACUAUGAACAUUCCCUGCUUGUUAUCAAAGUAUUGAAUAACUGUAACAAGAGGUAAUUUAUUUAUAUCUUAAAUGUCAAAACAGCUUCCAUAAUAUUAUUUCUUAAUAUGUGGACCUUUUUGGAUUCCUGGGAGCGAUAUGGAAGAUAAAAAUGUAAUUCAGGAAAUACAUUAGGACCACUGUUAUUGUUUAACAUCGCUCAAAAUGGUCUAAAAAGUAAAGGGUGUGACCAUUAUAUUGUUUUAUUUACCUUAUAUCUAGUUGUUUAUGCUUAGUAGUAGUUUUGGUGUGUUUCUUCAUCUUUUUUGCCACAGGACUUCCACAAUUACAUCAGAAGUAUGAAGAUGACAUUCACAGUAAGUGAUACCAGGCUCUGAAAGCGACUGUUAUCUUAUUAAUAAAAUAAAAAGUUUUGAACAGGCGGCAUCAGUUCUUUAAAAACGCUGAGGGGAAGAUACAAGACGUUUUGGCGCGCUGAAAAUCCGGUCACGUGACUUACUUCUUCGCGGCAUUUGUUUGGCUUGUGGUGAAGACGCUGGGCUAGUUGUUCUAGCAGACAACAGGAAGAAAAAUAACGCCCUCUACAUGUAUAUUCACAAAAGCCCACGUCCCAAAACACACGAAAUCAUAAAGGUGUGA